RNAcentral lists this unclassified non-coding RNA (396 nucleotides) under fungal sp. RNAcentral describes it as "partial internal transcribed spacer region". The stretch from base 1 to 46 matches the Rfam family "Eukaryotic small subunit ribosomal RNA", at positions 1786 to 1831 of the family's 1831-position model. Lineage: Eukaryota; Fungi. The record is from RNAcentral.
AAGUCGUAACAAGGUUUCCGUAGGUGAACCUGCGGAAGGAUCAUUAACACGUAUCCAAACGUUAAAACCCCCCCCGUGAACCUUCAUCCUGCUCUUGUAACCCGCGUAGUUUGCAAUCUCUGAUAAAUCAUAGCCCGGAAAGUUGUAGUGAUUCAGAGACCUCUGGCUACGUGCGAACAUUGGAACAGUUACAAUCGAGCGGUAGUUCUAUAGGCAAUGUUUCCCCAAGCGGCCUACAGGAAUCGUAGAAGCGCUAUCCUUGCACAAUCAAUGAAACCGUACACUCGGGCAGGAGCUUUGCCAAAGGGUCCCCAUGCCCCCUAAUAACCCCACAGUUUAAUGUGAAGCUCAAUGUAAUAACCGAACAAACUGAUAACAAUGGAUAUCUUGGUUCUC